CUUUGAGUUUGUUCGGGCGAGGAGAGAGACGCGUCUUCUCCGUCUUCUAAAGAUGAUGAUUUCCUGAAAUGUUAAUAUUGGCACAAAUCUGAAGAAUAUAGUAGCAGCAGACAGAAAAACUAACCAGGAGCAACAGCCGUUGGAAGUGAGACGCAGAUUAGAUAGCCAAGGGCUACCCUCAGAUGACCGAGGCAGGCACAGUCAUGUUUCGUCUUUGGACAUCAGUGGAAGACGAAGUCCAGGAAGACAUUGUGCAGCCCUGGAAGAUGGUGGCAGCGACAAUUCAGAGCGCCGUGGAUUGGUCUUAGAGGCCAGAGGCAGGGGCAGUCUGGAUAGUCAUGAUUGGAAACUUGAACCAGACUUGAAGCUGAUUUCACAAGAGAUCCGCAAGAGAGAGAGAGAGAGAAAUGCUGACCUUUUACAAAAGGCAUAUUUGCUGGGCUCGUCCAUUUUCAGUCAUCCUCAGGGGAACUGCUGACAUACUCCAGCCCCAUGAGGUCUAGCAUUGUCCUGCGUUAGGAGGAAUC
This is a long non-coding RNA of Pygocentrus nattereri (red-bellied piranha), 527 nucleotides long. RefSeq lists it as uncharacterized. The transcript is spliced from 4 exons. Lineage: Eukaryota; Metazoa; Chordata; Actinopteri; Characiformes; Serrasalmidae. The record is from RefSeq and is a predicted model, not a curated record.